This 73-nucleotide transfer RNA is filed under the name Nematostella vectensis (starlet sea anemone). It matches the Rfam family "tRNA". From Rfam's summary of the family: Transfer RNA (tRNA) molecules are approximately 80 nucleotides in length. Their secondary structure includes four short double-helical elements and three loops (D, anti-codon, and T loops). Lineage: Eukaryota; Metazoa; Cnidaria; Anthozoa; Actiniaria; Edwardsiidae. The record is from Rfam by way of RNAcentral.
GUUUCCGUAGUGUAGUGGUUAUCACGUCUGCCUCACACGCAGAAGGUCCGCUGUUCGAGACUAGGCGGAAACA